GACGAACGCUGGCGGCGUGCUUAACACAUGCAAGUCGAACGGAAAGGCCCUGCUUUUGUGGGGUGCUCGAGUGGCGAACGGGUGAGUAACACGUGAGUAACCUGCCCUUGACUGUGGGAUAACUUCAGGAAACUGGGGCUAAUACCGGAGAGGAGCUCCUGCUGCAUGGUGGGGGGUGGAAAGUUUCGGCGGUUGGGGAUGGACUCGCGGCUUAUCAGCUUGUUGGUGGGGUAGUGGCUUACCAAGGCUGUGACGGGUAGCCGGCCUGAGAGGGUGACCGGCCACAUUGGGACUGCGAUACGGCCCAGACUCCUACGGGAGGCAGCAGUGGGGAAUAUUGCAGAGUGGGCGGAAGCCUGAUGCGGCAGCGCCGCGUGCGGGAUGCCGGCCUUCGGGUUGUAAACCGCUUUCGCCUGUGACGAAGCGUGAGUGACGGUAAUGGGUAAAGAAGCACCGGCUAACUACGUG
Molecule: ribosomal RNA, 468 nt
Filed under: uncultured bacterium
Lineage: Bacteria
Description: partial 16S ribosomal RNA
Rfam family: Bacterial small subunit ribosomal RNA
Source: RNAcentral